Molecule: long non-coding RNA, 187 nt
Filed under: Numida meleagris (helmeted guineafowl)
Lineage: Eukaryota; Metazoa; Chordata; Aves; Galliformes; Numididae
Description: lncRNA (ENSNMEG00000021519.1)
Source: RNAcentral
GUCCCUGGAAGGUUCUGUUUUCCGCCAGCCAUUCAAAUCUUCAGUGCGACUAGAUACCUUCUGGACACACCAGUCUUUCUUCACUAACUGCAUGGACCCAGGGCAACACUGGCACUAUCUGCACCAAGUUGCUCCAGGAGCCCAUACUGUGUGCUUCAGUCUACCCAAGAGGAACAAAGACGGAUGA